This 193-nucleotide unclassified non-coding RNA is filed under the name plant metagenome. Its description in RNAcentral is "partial contains small subunit ribosomal RNA and internal transcribed spacer 1". The stretch from base 1 to 46 matches the Rfam family "Eukaryotic small subunit ribosomal RNA", at positions 1786 to 1831 of the family's 1831-position model. The record is from RNAcentral.
AAGUCGUAACAAGGUUUCCGUAGGUGAACCUGCGGAAGGAUCAUUAAUGAAAUUUAAGGAUGUUCUUUUUAGAAAUCCGACCAAUAUCAUUUCCAACACUGUGAACACACUUAUUUUUACACCCAUUUUAAAAACUCGUAGAGUCUAUAAGAAUGUAUAAAGUCUCUUAAUUGAGCAUAAAAAGUUAAACAAA